RNAcentral lists this ribosomal RNA (253 nucleotides) under uncultured bacterium. Its description in RNAcentral is "partial 16S ribosomal RNA". It matches the Rfam family "Bacterial small subunit ribosomal RNA", at positions 524 to 776 of the family's 1533-position model. The record is from RNAcentral.
UACGUAGGGUGCAAGCGUUAAUCGGAAUUACUGGGCGUAAAGCGUGCGUAGGCGGCUAUGUAAGACAGAUGUGAAAUCCCUGGGCUUAACCUAGGAACUGCAUUUGUGACUGGAUAGCUAGAGUGUGGUAGAGGGAGAUGGAAUUCCGCAUGUAGCAGUGAAAUGCGUAGAUAUGCGGAGGAACACCAAUGGCGAAGGCAAUCUCCUGGACCUGCACUGACGCUCAUGCACGAAAGCGUGGGGAGCAAACAGG